RNAcentral lists this long non-coding RNA (269 nucleotides) under Lathyrus oleraceus (garden pea). Its description in RNAcentral is "Pisum sativum (pea) long non-coding RNA (PSAT_LNC022544)". Lineage: Eukaryota; Viridiplantae; Streptophyta; Magnoliopsida; Fabales; Fabaceae. The record is from RNAcentral.
UCAGAUGAAAAAGGUGCAUUAAGAAUAGAAGAAUUUGAGGUAAACAAGAAAUACUGGAAAGGAGAAAGAAGGAAACUUAAAGAUGAUAUAGUUCUUGAUGAAAGUGAAAAUAUAACAAUUUAUGAAGAUGUGGAUAUCCAAAAACAAAAUCUUCAACGAAAGUGUAUCCCUAAAAACUAUUUUAACAGCAAGGCAGAUGAAAGGCAAGAAAUUAACAAAGUAUUGGAUGUUAUUUAUGCCUUGUUCACUAUAAUCAAACUGAAAAUGAU